This 76-nucleotide transfer RNA is filed under the name Bacteroidales bacterium. Its description in RNAcentral is "tRNA-His". It matches the Rfam family "tRNA". Rfam says of the family: Transfer RNA (tRNA) molecules are approximately 80 nucleotides in length. Their secondary structure includes four short double-helical elements and three loops (D, anti-codon, and T loops). The record is from RNAcentral. Lineage: Bacteria; Pseudomonadati; Bacteroidota; Bacteroidia; Bacteroidales.
GUGGGCGUAGUUCAGCGGUUAGAGCGUCGGAUUGUGGUUCCGGAUGUCGUGGGUUCGAAUCCCACCGUCCACCCCA